Molecule: long non-coding RNA, 1121 nt
Organism: Dromiciops gliroides (monito del monte)
Lineage: Eukaryota; Metazoa; Chordata; Mammalia; Microbiotheria; Microbiotheriidae
Exons: 3
Source: RefSeq, a predicted model, not a curated record
GAUGACACAUACCCCUCUCCUCUCUGUAGAAAGAUGGGAAAUGUGCUGAUUGAAUCUGAAGUGGAAAAGACCUCAGAGACUAUCAACUCCAGCCCAUGCUUGAGAUCCAAUACAACAUGGCAACUUGGUGCUAGCUGCAAUGGUUAUUUUUGCUUCUGGGCAAAGUUUUACCUGACUUCAAAGACCUGUAGCUAGGGGCAGUUCCAUAGUUCACAUAUGCUAUCAAACAACCAUCAUGAACCAAUAUUAAUCCUCAUUGUUACUCUUUUAUUUUUGUAUUUGAACUAAUGACCUUGAGAUUCAAAGUUUCUGUUAUCCCAUUACUGAUACCUGGGAUUCUACAGGCUCCCUAAAUUGUUUUCUUUAACAUUCUACUGUGUACAUAUUUUAUGGCUGUAAAGUUACACUCAGAUUUACCUGAUGUUUACUAUUAUUCUGUAGAAGAUGUUAACUGAUGUUAGCACAAAUAAAUUUUGGAGAAAUUUUCCAACCAAGGGAAUUGAGAACCAGCUAGUUGGUUUCUGAGGUCAAAUACUCCAGGGUACAGGUCUCAAAUCACUUAAUUCUUCACAGCAAAUUAGAAAUGGAACUCCAGCUGGUGCUAAAGAAUAUGACAGACUGGCAAUAGAAGGAAAUGCUGCUGCUAGGAUUUUGAGCCAUUUUGUUCCUAAAAGUAAAAAUGCUGGACUCAAUUUCCCCCCUAAAUCUCUUUUCAUCAGGUAAAGUUUGCUCAACAAGAGGAAAAAAAUCUGUCCACCUGAUUUCAGUGUGUGAAUCUUGCUAAGGUAUAAAAAUAAAAUGUUAUUUAAACAGCAAACUAUAAUCCUGUUGAUGACCAGCUGUGCCUCCUAUUAGUAUUAAUAGGAGUUGCACAAGCAUAUCAAGGAAAGGAGGGGAAAAACAUACCACCUUAUGUUUUUCACACACCUUAACAUUUUUACAGCAAGUCUGAUUACAAGGGUUUACUUGAGCAGUAAUUAAACACUGAUUGAUUACUAAGUAAAAAUUGUUUUCACAGCAACAUGCAAAUGGAAAUGAGACAUUCAUACAAGGAACGCUCACAAUCAAGUUUUCUCCCAGCAGAUGAGUAUUACAUUUCCCAAGUACAAAACAUAUUCGAA